GACGAACGCUGGCGGCGUGCUUAACACAUGCAAGUCGAACGGAAAGGCCCUGCUUUUGUGGGGUGCUCGAGUGGCGAACGGGUGAGUAACACGUGAGUAACCUGCCCUUGACUUUCGGAUAACUUCAGGAAACUGGGGCUAAUACCGGAUAGGAGCUCCUGCUGCAUGGGGGGGGUUGGAAAGUUUCGGCGGUUGGGGAUGGACUCGCGGCUUAUCCGCUUGUUUGGGGGGUAGUGGCUUACCAAGGCUUUGACGGGUAGCCGGCCUGAGAGGGUGACCGGCCACAAUGGGACUGCGGGACGGAGCAGACUGCUAUGGGAGGCAGCAGGGGGGAAUAUUGCACAAUGGGCGGAAGCCUGAUGUAGCAACGCCGCGUGCGGGAUGACGGCCUUCGGGUUGUAAACCGCUUUCGCCUGUGACGAAGCGUGAGUGACGGUAAUGGGUAAAGAAGCACCGGCUAACUACGUG
Molecule: ribosomal RNA, 468 nt
Filed under: uncultured bacterium
Lineage: Bacteria
Description: partial 16S ribosomal RNA
Rfam family: Bacterial small subunit ribosomal RNA
Source: RNAcentral